Long non-coding RNA from Homo sapiens (human), 1214 nucleotides. Ensembl annotates it as mir-99a-let-7c cluster host gene. Its record names the gene MIR99AHG. NCBI's taxonomy places the organism in Eukaryota, Metazoa, Chordata, Mammalia, Primates, Hominidae. The record is from Ensembl.
AUAAAGGACUUGUCUAGGGGAGAGCCUAUGGAUCUGAGAACGCUGUCUGGGCUUGGUACCAAGAGCUGGUAUUUCACAGCAGCGACCGCCUCACAGACGAGCUGUGGGAAGCAGGAGGGAGACUCUCUCUUAGGGUGCCACUACUAUGGAGACACAGCUGGGCUGAACAAGAUUUGCUUCAAACGACAACAAGAGAGACAGAAAGUAUCUGGUUCAACCGCUGCCCGAGCAGGCAGGCACCAGAAGAGCUAGCAGCCAAUCCGGCCAUGCUCGAAGCCAGCUCUGCAGCUCAGCCAAUCAGUGACAUCAUUGCUUUCUUUAGCUUGCCCAUGGUGAUGUGAAGAUGAGAAGAAAUAGCAAGGCCCAACCAGUUCUUCAUCUGGAGACAGUUCAACGUUCUGCAAACCAGAUCUUCAGGAAUUUUACUGGGAUAAUUAUCCAAAUAAAUUGCAAGCAUUCUAUCCAAAUGGAGCUCUUUCUGAGAUGAAGAGAAUUCUCAAUGUCAAGAUUUGAACAAGAAGAGAAUGGAAUACACAAUAUGGACAUCCAUAAAAAUUCAUCAGAGAGCAUUUUACUACUGAGCUGCAAAGCUCUACAUUUUCACAGUAAAACUUCUGUUUUAUCUUUUAACAACAUGAUAAAGAAAAACACAGAUGGAAGAACAUUGAGGGGGAAUUCCUAAAUGGGAGCAGUUAGCAGCUAUGAAAAUGUAGAUAUUCAAGAAGAAAAGAAAAAGUAAGCAAAACUGAAUCAUGAGACCAUAGAAGAGUCAAAAAAAUGUCAAUUUAUCUCAGCUUUCUGCAAACUACAACCCAUGGGCCAAAUUCAAGGUCUGUUUUUGUACAAUCUACACAUUAAGAAUGGUUUUUACAAUGAUACGUGUUAGAAAAAUGUUUAGAAAGUCAUAUUUUAUGAUGUGAAAAUUGAUAAAAUGUUGUUGUCCAUAAAUAAAGUUUUAUUGGAACACCAUCACACUUUCAUUUAUGUAUUUUCUAUGACUGUUUUUAUGCUGUAACAGCAGAAUUAAGCAGUUGCGACAGAGAUCAUAUGACAUGCAGCAUGUAAAACAUGUAUUAUCUAGCCCUUCAUAGAGAAGUUUGCUGUCUCCAGAUUUAGAACAUUCCCCUAAGUUAAUUUUCCCAGCUGAUUACAUCACUGUUUAUUGAGUAUCAGCUCUGGAAUUUCAAGUUCAAAUAAACCAAGGAGUACCUUCA